RNAcentral lists this RNase P RNA (405 nucleotides) under Alphaproteobacteria bacterium. RNAcentral describes it as "RNase P RNA component class A". It matches the Rfam family "Bacterial RNase P class A". From Rfam's summary of the family: Ribonuclease P (RNase P) is a ubiquitous endoribonuclease, found in archaea, bacteria and eukarya as well as chloroplasts and mitochondria. Its best characterised activity is the generation of mature 5'-ends of tRNAs by cleaving the 5'-leader elements of precursor-tRNAs. Lineage: Bacteria; Pseudomonadati; Pseudomonadota; Alphaproteobacteria. The record is from RNAcentral.
UCAGUCGGCCGGACGGCCGCUCCGCGCCAAUGCCGAAAGGCGGCCGGGGAGGAAAGUCCGGGCUCCAUGGACAGACGGUGCCGGAUAACGUCCGGCGGGCGCGAGCCCAGGGACAGUGCCACAGAGAACAGACCGCCGCGGCGCGUAGUGUUCAGCCGAGGCAAGGGUGAAACGGUGCGGUAAGAGCGCACCGCGUUUCCGGCGACGGAAACGGCACGGCAAACCCCACCGGGAGCAAGACCGAAUAGGGACCGCACCGGGGCGCAAGCCUCAAGCCUUGUCCAGGCCGCGGUCCGGGUAGGUUGCUUCAGGCGCCGGGCAACCGGCGUCGCAGAGGAAUGGCCGUCACGCGCGGGGCUCACGCUCCGCGCCCUACAGAACCCGGCUUACAGGCUGGCUGAUACG